AGCUCAUCGGCUAUACCAAUAUUGUUUGAAUGCAUGAGUUCCCGAAGUUUAACAUUGAACUCAACCCACACUGCGGUGUUCACAGAAGAAGAAUGGACCAAAACAGCGUUGAAAUCAUGCAAGACCGGGGCAACGAAUUGAUCGGCCCGUUCCACUUUCCCACCCACCCCCACCUGAAACUUGGAAGACAUGGGGCGACAGAACAAUACGAUCCUGGUUUUGGGAUCGUACAAUCACAGCAGGUCAACUACUCACUGAGGUAGCCGACCUGUUGUUGGCAGUGCUUUUGGCCAAUGCGGACACAACUGAUUUUGAUUUUGUUGGUAAAAUUGCGAAGGGUGGAUUGGAAAAGCUUGCUCACGAAUCGGCUCAUGGUGGAAGGAGGUCAAGGUGAUCAGGAUGAAGUGUAAAGAAUACAAACUGAAGAACUACACUUGUCAAUAAUACAUCCUCCAAGGCACUACAAUGUCAACCACCAACCUGCAACUGCCAAACAUCCAUCCUCUGUCAUUUCAAAUGAUUUCAUUUUUCUUUUUGGUCAGAAAAUGAAUUCAUUUUGGAUUUUGAAUUCUUGCAUAUAUUUGUUGAAUUCUUGAGCUGAAUUUUGUAAAUUUGGAUCUGUAUUGCCUGGAAACACUGAGAGAUCCGGCAUGAGAAUUUACUUGAUACAAUACAAGUUACAUUGCACUGAUUAGGCUUUUCUGCUUAGCGAAAGAGAGUCAUUGUCGAACACUUUGGUCCUUCAAACCACUGAUGGAGCUAUAUUUCUCUGCCCUGUUGAUGGAGAUAUUGGUUUUUUUUGGUCAAAAUGGAGAUAUUGGUUUCUUCAAUUGUGUUGAUGUUGGCAUACAUAUAAUAAUCUUUAGAACUUGGCAUUUGAUAAUAGAGUUGGGGGAGCUUUUGUUAUCCUUUAUUUGUUUUUCUUAUUAUAUUUAAGUCCCCCUCCUCUUCUUCUUCAUUUGGUAUUAAUAUGUUGAUUGUAUAGUUAAGCAGUGACAGUGAGUGAUGGGAUUAGAUCAUGACUCUGGUUAUUUUGUUGUGUUC
Long non-coding RNA from Prunus persica (peach), 1044 nucleotides. RefSeq lists it as uncharacterized. The transcript has 3 exons. The record is from RefSeq and is a predicted model, not a curated record. NCBI's taxonomy places the organism in Eukaryota, Viridiplantae, Streptophyta, Magnoliopsida, Rosales, Rosaceae.